RNAcentral lists this small RNA (603 nucleotides) under Arabidopsis thaliana (thale cress). Its description in RNAcentral is "ATSL097640". Lineage: Eukaryota; Viridiplantae; Streptophyta; Magnoliopsida; Brassicales; Brassicaceae. The record is from RNAcentral.
AGAGAGAGAGAGAGAGAGAGAGAGAGAGAGAGAGAGAGAGAGAGAGAGAGAUUUCCUUUAUUUCUAAUUACGUUUCCUUGAAUUGAGGGUAAAAAAGUCCAAAUAAAAAGGAAUUAGUGUAAAAAGUGUCUAUUCCCUAGAAAGUGCCUCAAAAGGAAUAAUAUUCUUUAAAAAUGCCUAAACGUGUCACAUUCCCAUCCGUUUAUUUGAUUAUUCGACUGUUUUUUGUUUAAUCUGGAAUGCCAACAACAAAGGAAUUUGAAAAAGAGGUUAUUACACUAUGAGACACUUUUAGAAAACUAUUUACGGGAUUAGGCACUUUGAAAAUAGAAGGCACUUUACCAAAUCAAAAUUCCUAAAUUGUCCUUUUAAUCACAUUGCACGACGUCGUCUCUCUCAACUCUCUUCUACAUCGUCCUCAUUUCUCUCUCUUUCCAAAAUCAAAACCAAUUUUUUUACGGGAAUCUCAAUAUUCCAAAUCAAAACUAAAAGUCCAAUUUUCAACACUUCAUCUCUCACUGCAAUCGUUCCGGAUGGUCCACCAUCGCUUCUCCACCACCACCUCUGCUUCCGCCUCCGAGCAUGAUCUAUUCUACGGGCAAA